RNAcentral lists this ribosomal RNA (494 nucleotides) under uncultured bacterium. RNAcentral's name for it is "partial 16S ribosomal RNA". It matches the Rfam family "Bacterial small subunit ribosomal RNA", at positions 28 to 507 of the family's 1533-position model. The record is from RNAcentral.
GACGAACGCUGGCGGCGUGCUUAACACAUGCAAGUCGAACGGUGAAGCGCCUUCCUUUUUGGUGGGUGUGGAUGAGUGGCGAACGGGUGAGUAACACGUGAGUAACCUGCCCCCUUCUUCUGGAUAACCGCAUGAAAGUGUGGCUAAUACGGGAUAUUCUGGGUCUGUCGCAUGAUGGGUCUGGGAAAGAUAUUGUUUCGGUGGGGGAUGGGCUCGCGGCCUAUCAGCUUGUUGGUGGGGUGAUGGCCUACCAAGGCGGUGACGGGUAGCCGGCCUGCGAGGGUGGCCGGUCACACUGGGACUGAGACACGGCCCGGACUCCUACGGGAGGCAGCAGUGGGGAAUAUUGCACAAUGGGCGCAAGCCUGAUGCAGCGACGCCGCGGGAGGGAUGGAGGCCUUCGGGUUGUGAACCUCUUUCGCCAGUGAAGCAGGCCUGCCUCGUUUGUGGGUGGGUUGACGGUAGCUGGAUAAGAAGCGCCGGCUAACUACGUG